CAGCAGCCACGGGAAAACGGAGGGGGCUAGCGUUGUUCGGAAUUACUGGGCGUAAAGCGCACGUAGGCGGCUUGGUAAGUUAGAGGUGAAAGCCUGGAGCUCAACUCCAGAAUUGCCUUUAAGACUGCCGAGCUAGCAGGUGAGAGAGGUAAGUGGAAUUCCGAGUGUAGAGGUGAAAUUCGUAGAUAUUCGGAAGAACACCAGUGGCGAAGGCGGCUUACUGGCUCAUACUGGACGCUGAGGUGCGAAAGCGUGGGGAGCAAACAGGAUUAGAGACCCCAGUAGUCCCUGUCUCUUAUCC
Molecule: ribosomal RNA, 301 nt
Filed under: uncultured bacterium
Lineage: Bacteria
Description: partial 16S ribosomal RNA
Rfam family: Bacterial small subunit ribosomal RNA
Source: RNAcentral